AGAGAAUGGAAUAGAAGAAGUCAAGAUUGGACAGGACAUGAGUUAGGAGAGAGGGUGAUGGCUUGGACCAAGGUGAUGGUCCUGGAGACAAAGAGAAAUUUGCAGCUUUCAGAUGUGUUUUUACAUGGAAGGAAGAACUGAACAGACAUGCUGAUGGGCUGAACAAGAGGAAUCCAGCCUAAGGAGACAGUCAGAAGUGCUCACCAAGAUUCAGAGGUUCUUCAUUGCCUUACCAUAUUUGUAAGUCAAAAACUGGAAGCUACCACAGGGUCCAGCCUUAUGAGAGUGGUGCAGUCAAUCCCAGAUCUUCCAUAUGACAGGGAGCUGGUCAUCCUUCAAAGUGCUGCUUACUAAGAUGACAAUGAGAUUGGAAAAUUCUCAUUAAAUAAACAAAUGGCUGGGUAAGUGCUUACUGCAUGGUGUAUUCAUGUUAGUAGAGAAAUAUCUACAAAAUACGCUCGUGGUAAACUCUAUAAAUCAUGAAAAUGUAAAACUGCAAGAAAUCUCAAGGUCAUCGUUUCAAAAUGCAUGCUAUAGUUGAGCAAAAGAAAAAAUCAGUGAAGACGAAGAGGCUGAAGAGUUCCUCAUUUAAGCUGUGACAUUUGAUCCCAUUAGUGGGAAAAGACCUGAACUGAGAAGGACCUGUGUCCUCGCCCCUGGUUUUGUUGCUGUUGCUUUGCUGGGUGACCUUGGAGACACCAUUGAAUGUCUCUUGGCUCAGCUUUUUCACGGUUAAAUGAGACAGUUGGUAAUUCCUUGUUUUUCAGAGUUUGCAUGGUUUGGAUGCCAUUGGCUCUUCCUUAUAGCAGGGAGAUUUUCAGCUGCAAAGAGCGGUGGAGUUCCUCUCUCCCAGCCCAAUCGUAAUUCGGCUUAUGUGCAGAAGGCAGAAGACCUUCCCAAGGGUACACAAUGCUUCUGUAAAUAGCAGUUUAUAGACUUCAGCAGAAGAAGCAGAAGCAAACAGAGGAAGUGAAAAUGACCACUAGAAGAAAAACUGAUGACAGAAAAACAAAAUCAAUUAGCCUUUAUCUUUAAAAAAAUCAACUAUGACUUGAAUUGAUUUCAAAUAAAAUAUUUCGAUCUUUAUGAGA
Long non-coding RNA from Pan troglodytes (chimpanzee), 1091 nucleotides. RefSeq lists it as uncharacterized. Lineage: Eukaryota; Metazoa; Chordata; Mammalia; Primates; Hominidae. The transcript is spliced from 2 exons. The record is from RefSeq and is a predicted model, not a curated record.